Molecule: ribosomal RNA, 420 nt
Filed under: uncultured bacterium
Lineage: Bacteria
Description: partial 16S ribosomal RNA
Rfam family: Bacterial small subunit ribosomal RNA
Source: RNAcentral
AUAUUUGACAAUGGGGGAAACCUUGAUCCAGCCAUUCCGCGUGUGUGAAGAAGGUAAACAGAUAUUAAAAUAAUUUAAGUUGGAAGAAAGGGCUUAAGGACAAUACCCUGAAGAUUUGACGGAACCAACAGAAUAAGCACCGGCUAACUCCGUGCCAGCAGCCGCGGUAAUACAGUGGGUGCAAGUGUUAAGCGGAAUUACUGGGCGUAAAGCGCGCGUAGGUGGUUCAGUAAGAUGGGUGUGAAAUCCCCGGGCUUAACCUGGGAACUGCUUUCAUAACUGCUGAGCUAGAGUACGGUAGAGGGUAGUGGAAUUUCCUGUGUAGCGGUGAAAUGCGUAGAUAUAGGAAGGAACACCAGUGGCGAAGGCGACUACCUGGACUGAUACUGACACUGAGGUGCGAAAGCGUGGGGAGCAAAC